Long non-coding RNA from Catharus ustulatus (Swainson's thrush), 1353 nucleotides. RefSeq lists it as uncharacterized. The record is from RefSeq and is a predicted model, not a curated record. NCBI's taxonomy places the organism in Eukaryota, Metazoa, Chordata, Aves, Passeriformes, Turdidae. The transcript is spliced from 3 exons.
AAAUGUGUGACCUGAGCACCUGGGCAUUCUUGGGAGAUGCUGACUAAGGGACAACAGCCCAGUGGUGGCAGGAAUUUCCCAGAUGGUGAAGCCUUUUUUACUGCACACAUAGCGUGGAUUCUCAUACCUGGAUCUCUGACAGAUAAGUGCUGGGCUCCAACCCACAGAGGGGAUGGGAGCAGGAUGCUGGGUCUGGAAUUGUCAGGAGGGAUUUUUGAGGCAGCUUUGGAGCUGGGGAUGUCCAAGAAGCAGCCCCUCAGGCCCCAUAAGGGGAAGAGUCUCAAUUUGAUCUCAAUGCUGAGUUGCACAGGGCAGAGCAGUUCCUCUGGGUGUCAUGUCACUUGUCUCUUGUGCAGUCUGUGUCUUCUGUGUGUGUUGCAUUGCCUGUCUCUUACCUUAGCCCUUUGAGGGGCCUAUCAGAAACCCUGGGCUCAUCCAUAGCAUCUUGUGCUCUCUGCAUUCAUCAGCCUGGCUCUGGUGCCAUCAAACCUUGGUCUCAGGAGCUUGGACAGGCAUCUGAAUCUCUUCUCUUUUGGAAAGCAUCCAGUCUGAUCUCUUUUAAGGUCUUCUUCUGAGCUGUGCACCUGAAGGAUCCAUUAUCUCAGCUUGGGUCUUGGAAGAAUGGAAGAUAAGAGGAUUCUCAGGCAUCCAUCUCUGCAGCAUCUUCUAGAAGGAAAUCAUUCUACUAGCAUCUUAUUUCCCACCGUGCCAGCUUGCUCUCUGUCUUCCCUCAGUCCUUGUGGUCCUUCCUCUUGCUGAGAUAUUUUUUUCCCUCUCUUGUCAUCCCCUUAUUUGUCACGUCUUGUGUCACGGGUGCCUGCAUGCAUUUGGGUCGGUGCUGCUCUGCCCUGCUGUGUAGUCUGGGCAUAGGGGUGCUAGGACCAGUCCUAGGGACUUGCCAUUUGUAAUGUGGGGUGGUGUUGGACUCUAGUUGAGAUCUGCAGAUUGAUCCCAGAUCUGUGGAGGGGUUAGGCUGUCCUGCAGCACUUUGACUUUUGUCCUGCCUGUGUUUCAGAGGCAGAGGGAUCCAAGUUGAGGACAAAGGCCUCUCCUGGCUAAGGGGUUCGCCCCAAGCGGGUCAGUCCCAGUUUGCCUUUAUAGGGAAAGCGUUAACGGUGACUCUGUUACAGCAUUUGUCUUUGUCUUUGUUUUUAGGAAAUGAAGCUGGAUAUCAGCAGGCCAGGCAGUGCCCUUGAACUACCCUGAGAUGGCUCUGCCCAGCUGGCCAAGAGACGCAGUUCACUGCUCCCGUGAGCCCUCCAGCAGUAUUCCAGGAGCCUGAUGAAGCCUUCACCUUCUCCUAUUUGAAGAUGCCAGCCAGGUAGCCUUUGGCAAGAGCCAAGCAGUUGAGGU